RNAcentral lists this long non-coding RNA (200 nucleotides) under Elaeis guineensis (African oil palm). RNAcentral describes it as "long non-coding RNA (EGUI_LNC013254)". The record is from RNAcentral. Lineage: Eukaryota; Viridiplantae; Streptophyta; Magnoliopsida; Arecales; Arecaceae.
UGUGCCGUGGUUUCCUUUUUCUUCUCACCUCCAUCUGCUGCGCCCAACUAAGCUGCCCAGCUCAUGUGUGUCAACUCCAUGCAUGAUGUCGCAGCGCGUAGCUUUUGUUGGUCCACCAUGGACCCAUGGGGAAAAAAAAAAACUAGGAGCCAUGCGCCUUUGUUUUGAACCAGUUCACUCUCUUUACUCCUUGAGCAUUA